RNAcentral lists this ribosomal RNA (642 nucleotides) under uncultured marine eukaryote. Its description in RNAcentral is "SSU rRNA". It matches the Rfam family "Eukaryotic small subunit ribosomal RNA", at positions 618 to 1266 of the family's 1831-position model. The record is from RNAcentral.
GUUAAAAAGCUCGUAGUUGGAUUUCUGGUGGGAGCACGGGUCGGCCUUCACGGGUUGUACUGUUGUUGCGUCCCGCCGUUUCGGAGGGAAUGGUCUCGCUAUUAAGUUAGCGUGAUCGGGAACUCUGUCGUUUACUGUGAAAAAAUUAGAGUGUUCAAAGCAGGCCUUCGCUGUGAAUACAUUAGCAUGGAAUAAUAAGAUAGGACUGUAGUGCUAUUUUGUUGGUUUGCGUACUAUGGUAAUGAUUAAUAGGGACAGUUGGGGGUAUUCAUAUUUAAUUGUCAGAGGUGAAAUUCUUGGAUUUAUGAAAGAUGAACUCAUGCGAAAGCAUUUACCAAGGAUGUUUUCAUUAAUCAAGAACGAAAGUUAGGGGAUCGAAGAGGAUUAGAUACCCUCGUAGUCUUAACCAUAAACUAUGCCGACUAGGGAUUGGAGGACGUACAUUUUUGGCUCCUUCAGCACCUUACGAGAAAUCAAAGUCUUUGGGUUCCGGGGGGAGUAUGGUCGCAAGGCUGAAACUUAAAGGAAUUGACGGAAGGGCACCACCAGGAGUGGAGCCUGCGGCUUAAUCUGACUCAACACGGGAAAACUCACCAGGUCCGGACAUAGUAAGGAUUGACAGAUUGACAGCUCUUUCUUGAU